CUGGCUCAGGAUGAACGCUAGCUACAGGCUUAACACAUGCAAGUCGAGGGGCAGCAUGUUGGUUGCUUGCAACCAAUGAUGGCGACCGGCGCACGGGUGAGUAACGCGUAUCCAACCUUCCCCCAAGUAGGGAAUAGCCCGGCGAAAGUCGGAUUAAUGCCCUAUGUUUUUCCUUAUGUGAGCAUUCUGUGAGGAACAAAGAUUGAUCGCUUGGGGAUGGGGAUGCGUCUGAUUAGAUGGUAGGCGGGGCAACGGCCCACCUAGUCCGCGAUCAGUAGGGGUUCUGAGAGGAAGGUCCCCCACAUUGGAACUGAGACACGGUCCAAACUCCUACGGGAGGCAGCAGUGAGGAAUAUUGGCCAAUGGCCGGGAGGCUGAACCAGCCCAAGUAGCGUGCGGGAUGACGGCCCUAUGGGUUGUAAACCGCUUUUGCCGGGGAAUAAAGUGGCCCACGUGUGGGUUUUUGCAUGUACCCGGAGAAUAAGGACCGGCUAAUUCCGUGCCAGCCGCCGC
Molecule: ribosomal RNA, 513 nt
Filed under: uncultured bacterium
Lineage: Bacteria
Description: bacterial SSU rRNA
Rfam family: Bacterial small subunit ribosomal RNA
Source: RNAcentral